This 471-nucleotide long non-coding RNA is filed under the name Setaria viridis. Its description in RNAcentral is "long non-coding RNA (SVIR_LNC010534)". Lineage: Eukaryota; Viridiplantae; Streptophyta; Magnoliopsida; Poales; Poaceae. The record is from RNAcentral.
GUAAAUGAUCAAUUCGUUAAUUGGGCUAGAAGGUAUUAUGAGAGUCUUUGUUGGAUUGUUAUAAAGUUAUAUGGUCACUUUUUAUGGGAUAAGUUUUGAAAGAUAAAUGAAUAGUUUUUUGGAUGGAGGGAGUACACGGCUAUUAGUGCUCCUCCGUAGCUUUUCUUGCCCCAUUUUGGCGCCAGCCGCAGGUAAGCGUGGCGAUUUGUGGAUGACAAAUACUACUUCAAACACUAAACCAGUGAGAUACCGAUGCAGAAAAAGUCGACCCACUAAAAAUUAUAUAUUUUCACACUGUGCUACAAACAAACGAGCUAGUGCGAUGUGAUGGCAAUAAACGGUCAAAAUUUAGAGCUAUAAUUUUGAUUCUUUGGCUCUUUGCUACUCCUAUGGUGCGUUUGGCAGAGCUCCCAGAGUUGAUAUUCUGCUGAAUCCAAUAGGAGCACUGCCAAACAGUUUUUUAGAGAUAAG